This 254-nucleotide ribosomal RNA is filed under the name uncultured bacterium. RNAcentral's name for it is "partial 16S ribosomal RNA". It matches the Rfam family "Bacterial small subunit ribosomal RNA", at positions 524 to 776 of the family's 1533-position model. The record is from RNAcentral.
CACGUAGGGGGCGAGCGUUGUCCGGAUUUAUUGGGCGUAAAGAGCUCGUAGGCGGUUCGGCAAGUCGGGUGUGAAAUUUCGAGGCUCAACCUCGAAACGCCACUCGAUACUGCUGUGACUGGAGUCCGGUAGAGGAGUGCGGAAUUCCUGGUGUAGCGGUGAAAUGCGCAGAUAUCAGGAGGAACACCGGUGGCGAAGGCGGGUCUCUGGGCCGAUACUGACGCCGAGGAGCGAAAGCGUGGGGAGCAAACAGG